Passer domesticus (house sparrow) is the source of this 4381-nucleotide long non-coding RNA. RefSeq lists it as uncharacterized. Lineage: Eukaryota; Metazoa; Chordata; Aves; Passeriformes; Passeridae. The transcript is spliced from 11 exons. The record is from RefSeq and is a predicted model, not a curated record.
UUAUGGGUAACUGAUCCUCCCUUUUCAAUCUGAGCUGCUGCAGCUCUCCCAGGAAGGCUGCUGGUAUCUUCAAUUUUCCUGUCUCGUGGGCGGUCGGGAUUGCCACAGGUAUUCCCAAGCUGGAACCAUUUCCCCUCCUGCUGUCACUCCAGGCUCCUCACAGCCAGGACCAUCAGCCAGCUUCAGGUGUUUCAGAUCCUGUGAAAAACAAGCUCUGAAAGGCUUCUCCUGUGAUAAACUGUCUGGUGUGGAUGCAAAUUUGGCAUGUUGGAAGAGAAGGAAGAGCAGGAAAUGCAUGAUUUGCCUGCAGGGAAAGAGCCCAGGGAAAAUGGAAACACAGCCCAGGUUGGAAACACCUACAAGACAAAGAUCUCUCCUGUGAUGACUUCACAAAUAAAGAUUUAAAGCUAUUAAUAGUAACAGCUCUAAGAGAUCAAUAGUUGUUCAGACCUAAAAGUCUGAUUUUUCCCCAGCUGAGGGAGAGGUGGGAAGGUACCCCGUGGUUUGACAGGCUGACACAAAAAACACAUGCUACAUAAUUAUAACUUGCAAAAUGUAAAUAUUUAUGAAUUCACAGGAUGUUCGCUGGAAGAGAAGAAUGUUAUACUUGCAGAUUUUUCUUGUACUUGCAGGAUUCACAUAAUAUUAUUUGCCAUCAUGAUGUACUGAAAAAUGCAAAAAAAUAUAAUACUCUACAUUUGACUUUUCUGAAAAAUACCAUCUGGUGUUAUUUUUUGAGAGUUGGAGAUCAGCUCUCUAAUUGCUUAUAGUUAGAGAUAGACAUUACUACAUUUAUUGACAAUUUCAUUCUCUACAAUAAUCUUACAUUUAAAUAGUGACUUUGUUCCUGAAGGAUGCCAAAGUGAUUAAACUGAUAUUCAAACUCUUUGGAUAGCAUCACCCACCACUGAAAUGCAGCCAUCUCUGGGGUGAGAUAUUGCAGCUGUUUAACAGCACUCAACAGCGCUGCAGAACAGCUUUGGACAUGAAGAAUUCUGAUGAAAACGGGGAUUUUUAGUUGGUGAUUCCAAGCUGGGCAAAUGUUUCGGGAAAUAUUUCCUCCACAGAGUUUUGCUAAAAGUGUUGCUGCCAUGAGAUUUCCAUCACACUCCCGCUGCUCGUGAGUUGGAAGGACAGCACUGGAAAUGUGAGCUGUCAAUCUGGGUGUAACAAUACAUUUAGCUCGAGCACAUCAUCCACGUUGAAAGAAAACACUUGUCAAAGUUACAAACAAGCAGCUCCUGGCUCUUGUUGAUGUGCAAUCACAUCCAAGCACGUGUCCCAGGACUGCUCUGUCUUGUUAUCCAGUUGUCAGGGAUGAUCAGGAUAUCCUGCCUCUGGAUUGCUUCGAUUCACGUGCGGCAAACCUCGAGCUGAGCUUUGUCUGGAGAUGUCUUGUGGAGGAGCGUUGUGGAAUCAUCACUCCUCAUCAGAUGGACACAUUCCCCUUCACCUAUUUGGAAUUUUUCCAAUUCCUUUUCUAACUUCUUGGUUUUAACAUCUUUCUGAACAGACUCCAGACCACAUAAACCUGACAUCCCCUCUGUGCCAGAGGGAUUUUGUAGGAAAAAGAGAUUUCACUGGUGGCUUCUGAAGACUGUGUCCCUGCUUGGCUUUGUAGAGCAUCUGCCAUAAUUCACUCCAGGAUGACUAAACUAUUGUAAUAAAAUAAUAAGUACCUUCUACAGAUGAAUAUUAAUCUGGAAUUCAACUAUCAAUAUCACACUGUGGAGAAGAUUAUUCCCAAUGAGCUGAGACAUUAUGUGUUGGGUUCCAGUGAGAGGUGAAUGGAUCCAGCACACCUAAAGGUUCACUGAUGGAGGACCUGAUGGGGCAGAGGUGGAUGGAGGGACCUGCCUGUGGAACAGAAUCUGCUCCUUCUGGAGGUGCUCUAAUCUUACAUUUAAAUCAGCCAGGAAACAUCAUCCCAAGGCUGAGGAACAACUCUCAUGGUGAGAUCUGUGUGCUGGGUGUGCCACUGCCUGCUCCUCCACAGUCUGAAACAACACAGCAUGGAAUCAUCAGCUUGGAAAAAACCUCCAAGUCCAGCCUUCAGCUGAAUCCAUGCCUACUAACCCACAUCCCAAACUGCCACGUCCACUCGUUUCUUGAGCACUUCCAGGACUGGUGACUCCACCACCUCCCCGGGCAGCCUGUGCCCCUGCUGAGGUACUCUUUCACUGAAAAACUUUUCUCUUCAUGUCCAACCUGAGCCUUCCCUGGUGCAGCCUGAGGUCAUUUCACCUUGUUCUGUCCCUGGCUGCCUGGGAGGAGAGGCCAAUCUCCACCUUGCCCCAACCUCCAGCACCCCCUGACGUACAAUCCCACACAUGGGAUUUGUGUGUGUGCGUAAACACACGCUUGAUGUUUUUCUCCAUUCUCAUCACAUGUUUCAUUCAAUAGACUUAUUAAUCAACCAUAAGAAAUGAGUUAAGAUGUUGAAACAGUCAUGGCCUUUGUUCUGUGUCAGUUUUGUUGGCUUAGCUGACAUAUAGCUACAAGGCAUGACGGAUCAAAGUAAUUAAAGUUCCAAUCAUUUACCUUUCUAUGUUCAGUGUCAAGACAGCUCGCCUUCACCCCGGGUUCAGAGCAUUUUCAUAUUUUUUUAACAUGUUAGAGCUGUGCCAUUUGCCUUGCUGUACUUAAGCAUUUGACAGCAUUUCCAUUAUAAAGUUUAUAUACGAAGGCUUGAGAUUCCCUCUGGAUUCCAACUUUGCACAUAAAAUUGCAGACCACAGGCAAUCCAAAACCAAUCUGGUAGCUUGGGGAUUUUUUUUGUAGUUUGUUUCUUUUCUGUUUCUUUGAUUUUUGUUUUUUGUUGUUCAUUUACUUUAAGGUAACGUAGGUUUUUUACCAUCAAAGAACAAAAAAAAUUCCUGUUCUGUUUCACUUAGUUUCAAGGUACAUUUUUGUGUUUAUGAAAGUUUAAUGGGACUUAUUUUUGUUCCUGUCAUGAAAUAUGAUAGGCAAUUAGUUCUAAUCUUUACUCCUCCAUGAUACACAUUAACUAAUAGUAACUAAGAAAUCACACUUGUGUCAGAUGCAAAAGCAAAAUAUUUCCUUUUAAUAAAAGGGGUUUUUACAGCAAUUGCACCAGAAAUAUGGAUAAAAAGGAAAUAUUGUGUGGAUACAUCCCCAAACAGGGAUUUGACACACCAUGCACUGACUCCAUCCCUCCACCUGUGAGAGCCAUCCUUCAGGCACUUUCAGGCUUGAAAUUUGCAGAAAUCCUUUGCAAAAAGUAAGUAAUAAUUCUCACUCUUAAAAUGUACUUUGGAUUGCAGAAUCAGCAUUCGAGUUGUGUUUCUUCAUAUUCUUUUUAAGUUAAUUUUUAUAGGAAGUCCCUUCAAGAUGAAGUUUAAAUAUUCCACACUGGAUUUCUCACAACUAAUUUAAUGCCAUCUUCCAGUCAGCACAACUGGUUCAAGACCCCUCUCUUGCAUCAUUUGAAGCUCUGGAACAUUAAACACUGCCUUGUGUUGUAGUUUGAAUAUGAGAUUACUUAACUAGCAGUGAAUAUCUCUGCAACAUAUCUGCUCUACAAAGGGAGCUCACGUUUGGAUGUUGCCUGAAAUGCUAAUAUUUUACAGAAAAUUAUAUAUAAAGCUGUUCAUUAACUAGCUAUUUUUUCCUUUGUGCAACAUUUUAAAAAAAUUUGAUUCUAAACUCCAGUUCAGCAGCUAAACCAGUGAUUUUAUUUGAAGAGAAGGACUAAAGAGCUGGCAUUAAAAACAUUUAACUCUGGUUUUGCAUUUUAAAAGUAUGCUAAUAUUGUGAAGGAUCAAAUUGCCGGAAUAUUUUUAUGAAAUCAGACCUUUUUUUUUCUCAAAGUUUACAUAGUAAAGUUGGGUAUAAAUAGGCAGAAAUAAAUUAAUUAUUUUGAGUUAAUUUGCAGAUUUGGAUAAAUUCUGUGUCCCAUGGAAGUUAAUAGGGGUCCUCUUGCUUUGAUUUAAAUGUUGUCCAGAUAUAAUCUCCUGAAUUUGGCACACAUUUAUUACAUGUUCUAGUGCAGAAACUUUCCUUGUGGAUCUCUACAAUUUCUUCCAAUAUUUUCUUACAAGGGUGUGCAUUUUUUGAUUGCAAUGUUAUGAAGUGGUGUGUAUGUACAUGUAUUUCAAACAGGUUUGAUAUUUGAAUGCAUUAUUAUUUUUAGGACAGCCUAUCAUUACUCAGUAAAAUAGGUUGUUAAUUUGGUAUAAAAUAGAGGAAGUAAAAUCCCCACAUGAUUCCUUGAUUCAGGCUUCCUACCCAGUGAGUAAUAGCGGAGCAACCUGAUAGCAAGGCAGGUGUUUUGCAUUUAAAUAGCCUCUAGUAAGGACGUAAAUAAUGACAGUUUUGUUAUGCACAAACAGAGCUGGAAUUUGUCUGUAUUAAAGUGAUC